Molecule: transfer RNA, 68 nt
Filed under: Neurergus derjugini (Kurdistan newt)
Lineage: Eukaryota; Metazoa; Chordata; Amphibia; Caudata; Salamandridae
Description: tRNA-Ser
Source: RNAcentral
AAGAAAAGUUAUGAAACACAGAGACUGCUAAUUAUUUGGUUCUAAAGUUAAAAUCUUUAGUUUUCUUA